RNAcentral lists this long non-coding RNA (600 nucleotides) under Helianthus annuus (common sunflower). RNAcentral's name for it is "sRNA HanXRQr2_Chr17g0807191". The record is from RNAcentral. Lineage: Eukaryota; Viridiplantae; Streptophyta; Magnoliopsida; Asterales; Asteraceae.
UAACGACAACAGCAAACUAAUUUCUUCUUCUACUAUUUUCUUUUCUUUCCUUUUUUUUUUAAACAAAGUGAAGGGUUGCGAGAAUGUAAUAGUCGGGUGAAGUAACGAUGGAUGUGGUGGUUAUUGGUUGUUGACCGGUUGUGGCUCACAGUGAUCAGUAAGUCGGAGGUAGUGCGGUGGAGGUUGAAUGGUAGUUGACGGUGUUAGAGAAUGACGGGGUGGACUGGUGAUGGAGAGAUGGUGAUGGAGAGAUGGUGACGGAACUGUGUUGACCGGAACAGUGGUGGUGCGGCUGUGACCGACGUUGAUGAUCGGAAGAACGGGUUCAAUGUGGUUCGGUUUAGUAUGGGUUGGUAGUAGAUCUAUUAGAGCCGAUACAAAUUCAAAACAUUUCAAGACUAAACGGCAACAAGAAACUUGAUGGUUUAGUCAGCGGUGGUUUUGGUCGAAGUCAGUUCACCGGAUACGCGGCGGCGCCGGAAUAACUUGCCGGAACCCUAAAUUAUGGCCGGAAGUUAGCCGGAGACGGAAUGAUUCAAAACAGAAAAUGUAUAUGUAUUUAAUUUGUUAUUAUAUACGCUGAUAAAUCCUUUUUCUACC